RNAcentral lists this ribosomal RNA (781 nucleotides) under Acarospora bolleana. Its description in RNAcentral is "SSU rRNA". It matches the Rfam family "Bacterial small subunit ribosomal RNA", at positions 399 to 1242 of the family's 1533-position model. The record is from RNAcentral. Lineage: Eukaryota; Fungi; Ascomycota; Lecanoromycetes; Acarosporales; Acarosporaceae.
ACGUGCGACAGCAUCUGCGGGAUGGAAAGCGAAAGCAGUCGAUAUUAGUUAAUGCAGACGACACGUCGACAAAGUCUAGGUAGAAAAUGAUGAUGACAACCCCCCCCUAUAUGUCCCGACCAAGUCUCGUGCCAGCAGUCGCGGCAAUACGUGGAAGACUAGUGUUAUUCAUCUUUAUUAGGUUUAAAGGGUACCUAGACGGUAUUUCUAGCCCUAAAUAGGGUACGGAUUUACUAGAGUUUUAUGUGAGGAGGGGAGUACUCGUGGAGUAGAGAUGAAAUUUUGUUAUACUAUGAGGUAACUGGUGGCGGCGAAAGCAACCUUCUAUGUAUAAACUGACGUUGAGGGACGAAGGCUUGGGUAGCAAAUAGGAUUAGAUACCCUAGUAGUCCAAGCAGACAAUUCUGAAUGCCAUAGAUUAGAUUAUUUUUGGUCUAUAAAUGAAAGUGUAAGCAUUCCACCUUAGGAGUAAUGUGGCAACACAGGAACUGAAAUCAUUAGACCGUUUCUGAAACCAGUAGUGAAGUAUGUUAUUUAAUUUGAUGGUCCACGUAAAACCUCACCACAACUUGAAUAUUUUUUAAUUAAUACAAGCGUUGCACGGCUGUCUUCAGUUAAUGUCGUGAGAUUUUGGUUAACUCCAUUAAUUAACGUAAACCCUUACUUUAUUUAUUUUUUUUAUAAAGUAGAUCGCCUAUAUAUUGGAUAUGAUAAGAGGGACUAAGACAAGUCAUCAUGGCCUUAAUGUUGUGGGCUAUAGUCGCCCCCACACUAUAAAAAA